AGCCGCCGCGGUAAUACCGGCGGCUCGAGUGGUGGCCACUAUUACUGGGCUUAAAGCGUUCGUAGCUGGUCUGUUAAGUCUCUGGGGAAAUCUACCGGCUUAACCAAUAGGCGUCUCAGGGAUACUGGCAGACUAGGGACCGGGAGAGGUGAGAGGUACUCCAGGGGUAGGAGUGAAAUCCUGUAAUCCUUGGGGGACCACCUGUGGCGAAGGCGUCUCACCAGAACGGCUCCGACAGUGAGGGACGAAAGCUGGGGGAGCAAACCGGAUUAGAUACCCGGGUAGUCCCAGCCGUAAACGAUGCGCGUUAGGUGUAUCGGUGACCACGAGUCACCGAGGUGCCGAAGAGAAAUCGUGAAACGUGCCGCCUGGGAAGUACGGUCGCAAGGCUGAAACUUAAAGGAAUUGGCGGGGGAGCACCACAACAGGUGGAGCCUGCGGUUUAAUCGGACUCAACGCCGGAAAUCUCACCGGAUAAGACAGCUGGAUGAUAGUCGGGCUGAAGACUCUACUUGACUAGCUGAGAGGAGGUGCAUGGCCGUCGUCAGUUC
RNAcentral lists this ribosomal RNA (551 nucleotides) under uncultured Methanomicrobiaceae archaeon. RNAcentral describes it as "bacterial SSU rRNA". It matches the Rfam family "Archaeal small subunit ribosomal RNA", at positions 460 to 1010 of the family's 1478-position model. The record is from RNAcentral. Lineage: Archaea; Methanobacteriati; Methanobacteriota; Methanomicrobia; Methanomicrobiales; Methanomicrobiaceae.